UGCAAGUCGAGCGCGAACGGUCCUUCGGGACUUAUUAGAGCGGCGGACGGGUGAGUAAUGCAUAGGAAUCUGCCCAGCUAGUGGGGGAUAGCCCGGGGAAACCCGGAUUAAUACCGCAUACGUCCUACGGGAGAAAGCAGGGGAUCUUCGGACCUUGCGCUAUUGGAUGAGCCUAUGUCGGAUUAGCUUGUUGGUGGGGUAAUGGCCCACCAAGGCGACGAUCCGUAGCUGGUCUGAGAGGAUGAUCAGCCACGCUGGGACUGAGACACGGCCCAGACUCCUACGGGAGGCAGCAGUGGGGAAUAUUGCACAAUGGGGGAAACCCUGAUGCAGCCAUGCCGCGUGUGUGAAGAAGGCCUUCGGGUUGUAAAGCACUUUCAGUAGGGAGGAAGGCCUGUAAGUUAAUACCUUGCAGGAUUGACGUUACCUACAGAAGAAGCACCGGCUAACUCCGUGCCAGCAGCCGCGGUAA
This 472-nucleotide ribosomal RNA is filed under the name marine sediment bacterium ISA-7274. RNAcentral's name for it is "bacterial SSU rRNA". It matches the Rfam family "Bacterial small subunit ribosomal RNA", at positions 56 to 523 of the family's 1533-position model. The record is from RNAcentral.